CCAUCGUCCAUUUAAUCGAAAAACAAAACAGCAUAGAACUCGCUUCCGGUGAGUUCUCGAUCGUAGGUCUCAACCAAGGGAACAACGUCGUCGCUGUACUCGCUCGUAUUGGGGAUGAGAUUCAAUGGCCAUUAGCCAAAGACGAACCCGCUGUAAAACUUGACGAUUCUCACUACUUUUUCACUCUCAGCGUUCCCUCAAAUGGGUCAUCGGGAAAUCACGAUUCCGCCACCGGCCAUGCUAAUCGAGAGCCGGAAAUGUUGAACUACGGCCUGACCGUUGCGUCAAAAGGGCAGGAGGAUCGAUUGAAGGAGUUGGAUCGGAUAUUAGAUCAGUACAGUUGUUUUUCGGUUCAGAAAGUGGAGGAAUCAGCGAAGUGGGAGGUUUUGGAUGGAUCAGUGGCGAGGGAAAUCUCGCCGGAAGAUAUGGCGGCGUCUGAGGAGAAAAGGGAUUUGCUAGAAGAAAGAUCUGCUGCUUAUUGGACAACAUUGGCGCCGAACGUCGACGAUUACAGCGGCAAAGUCGCACGGCUGAUUGCGGCCGGUUCUGGACAAGUGAUUAAGGGGAUUUUGUGGUGUGGGGAUGUAACUGUGGAUCGAUUGAACUGGGGAAAUGAGUUCAUGAAGAAACGGAUGGGGCCUCGAUCUGAUGCAGAGAUAAGUCCGGCGGCCAUGAAGAGUAUAAAGAGUGUGAAGAAGCUGACGAAGAUGACGGAGAAAGUGGCGAAUGGAAUACUUUCUGGCGUAGUGAAAGUGUCUGGAUUCUUCACAAGUUCGAUAGUAAACUCUAAAGUGGGGAAGAAGUUCUUCAGUCUUCUUCCUGGAGAAAUUGUUCUUGCUUCAUUGGAUGGAUUCAACAAGGUUUGCGAUGCAGUUGAAGUGGCAGGAAAGAAUGUGAUGUCUACUACAUCCGUUGUGACUACAGG
RNAcentral lists this unclassified non-coding RNA (925 nucleotides) under Hevea brasiliensis (rubber tree). The record is from RNAcentral. Lineage: Eukaryota; Viridiplantae; Streptophyta; Magnoliopsida; Malpighiales; Euphorbiaceae.